Molecule: long non-coding RNA, 1751 nt
Filed under: Homo sapiens (human)
Lineage: Eukaryota; Metazoa; Chordata; Mammalia; Primates; Hominidae
Description: HSALNT0394517
Source: RNAcentral
UAGAUGAAUAGAAUGAGCAAAAGUUGCAGCACAGCGUGUCACCAGAGAGGAAAAGAAUAUCCUUGCUGUGCCAAGAAAGAAAAGACCAUGGAUCUACUAGUUGCAGAUUUCAGCAGUAAUGCCAAGGGGGCAAGAAGUGACCAGCAGAACAAUUAGGCCAUGGCAACAGAAGCCAACUACAACCCAUGUUCCAAUCUAUGACCUCCCUCUCCUGCUGGUACAAGGAUAUGAAUGUGGCUGUAGCAUCAUUUUUGGAAGCCAGAAUGGUAAUACUGAAAAUCACUGCUUGUCUCAAGAUCCAACUUCUGGAAAUCUCAACCAUUCUGAAUACAGCCAUCAUUCUUAAAAUUGAAGAGAACUGUUUUACAAGAUCUUGACUUGUAAAGAAACCAAGUUUAUUAAGGGCAAGAGCUGAUAAUCAACUGACUAAUGAGGAUUGACUUCUACAAUUGAUGAGCAUGGAAUUGGAUGUGCCUAAAUCAACAGAAGAGGGAUUUUGAUGUCAUCACACUGUAGCCCCAGAAGACAGAACGCUCAAAGGUGUCAAUGGGCAGAAUUUGUAGAUGACAUACAGCAUCCAAUGGAUUACUCCUAUUCAGUAUUCCUUAGAGCAAAGGAUGCAAUGUCAAGCAAGUUGUGAUACCUCAACUAUCUACAAUUUAACACCAAGGAAAGAACACUGUUUGGAGAAAUGAGAAAGAUUAUCAUCAGUGUCUUUCAGAAGUCAUCAAAAGAAGAAAAGGAGAAAAGAGAGGAGAAAGCAGAAAGAUCUGGAGUCUGGGAAGUUCAAGAGCAUGGCACCAACAUCUGGCAAGGGCUUUCAUUCUGCAUCAUCUCAUGGAGGAAAAUAAAAAGAUUUCAGGUAAAUCCAGAUUUGGAGCUUAAAUGACUCAAAUGCUUUGCCUACAUUGAUCCUACAUUCAGGCUGCUUACAUAUCUCUUGGCUUCUCUGAGAACCAGAUUGUCACCACUUAAAGUGUCUUCCAGAGUCCUCACGAGUAUCAGAGAAGGCAUAAUCUGUACACGUGGCUUCAUUUAAAAUGAAAAUAUCAAGCAGUGUCAUUUUCACAAGUAUCCCCACACUGUCUGAGGCUGAAAAGAAGAGUGUAGCUAUGCACACUGCAGUGAGAAGAAAAUUUCAGCUCAAUUGGAGGAUGUAAAGAUUGAAAUACCACUGCUCCUAGUUCUGAUGCAAAAUUGAAAAGAGUGCACUGGGUCUUCAAAUGGCAUAUUGACAAGGAGAAAGAGGAAAGGAUGCCCCAGGACAGCCUGGGGGUCAAGGCUGGGCUCAGGCAUGCCUGGACAAGCCAUGCAAGUUGUCUCCGGACUUGAACCACGUAUCAGAGGAGCUAUUUGAGGAGCCACAUCAGCAUACCUGCUUCUGUGGGCCCCCAGGCUGUGGUGCUCAGCCCUUGCACUAUGAAACAUUUUUUUUUUCCAGAAGCCAAAGCUUUGAGCAUCUCCUCCCAUGUAGAGAGUGUAUAUGUUUACGUCCAUGUCUUUCGCCAUGUGAACGCAUGCAACCACCACCUCAAAUAUCAUAAAUCCUCUCUCUCCCCCUUUCUGUCUGCCUGUUUAUCUACAAUCUGUCUAUUUAAAUUCUUUUUAAACAAGAAGGGAAUAUCUUUAUGCCUGUUUGUAGGGAUAUUCUACAUCCAUCUGUUAUUUACAUCAUUCGUUUUCCUGAGGUGUCUCCAACAAAUCCUGGCUGGAUGCACUGUAUGUGUUAUUAAUAAAACAGCUGUAAAAAU